AUCAAGUGAGUGUAUACUACCUUUCAUAAACACGAUAAUAAUACAAGUAUGGUUUGAGUGUAUUAAGUAUAUUGUUGUUUAUAUGUGUGAGUGUGUGGUUACUUUCUUCUAACACAUAAGUAUGAAGUAUUUGCUACGAAAUACGUGCUAUGUGUUUAUAGAUUGUUGUUUAUUUGAGGUGUUGGAGGAAUGGAUGAACUAUAUAGAUUUUUAAUGAGUUAAACUAUAUGUGUAUUUUAUAUCUACGAAUAUGUUGGGUAGGACAUGGGUAGAUGAGAUCCGUGAGUAUGGAUCAGAUCAAGAAGUUAGUUUUUAGAUUCGUGAGUAGGGAUCAGAUCAAGAGGUUAGUUUUUAGAUCCGUGAGUAGGGAUCAGAUCAAGAGGUUAGUUUUAGAUCCGUGAGUAUGGAUCAGGUAAAGAGAUAAACUUGCUAUUAGUCCGGGAGUAUGGAUUAAGACUAAGUUAAUUGUCCUUAGUCCGGGAGUAUGGAUUGGGCACAGUUAUAGAUCCGGGAGUAUGGAUCAGAUAUGGAUUAAGAUUAAGUUAAUUGUCCCUAGUCCGGGAGUAUGGAUUGGGCACAAUUAUAGAUCCGGGAGUAUGGAUCAGAUCAGGAUUAAGGUAUAGUUAAUUGUCCCUAUUCCGGGAGUAUGGAUUGGGUACAAUUAUUGAUCCGGGAGUAUGGAUCAGAUCAGGAGGUAGUUUUAGAUCCGUGAGUAUGGAUCAGGUAGUUUUAGAUCCGUGAGUAUGGAUCAGGUGAAAAGAAUAGUUUUAGAUCCAUGAGUAGGGAUCAAGUAAAGAGGAAAAUAUUAGAUACGAGAGUUUAGAUCGUGUCAUUGUGAGGAUCGAUGGGGUGGGUUAAGAGUUGCCUUUAUAUGGUGAAAUUGUGCAAGUUUGAAUGUUCUAUAUUUAUAAAUAUAUGAUAUAACAUUGUGGGAUGAAAACCCUAUAUGCUCACCAGGCUCCCAAGCCUGACCCACUCAGUUUUCUUUGUAUCACAGGUAUUAAUACGAAGACAUAUUUCACAGAGAGAUUUAAAGGAGAUAUAAAUCAAUUGUGUAAUUAAAUGUAAGUUCUGUUUAUGCUUAUAUGUCUGUAUCGGAACAUGACAUCCCGAGGUUUUAUUAUUAAAUGAAAAAUACAUUCCCUUUGAGAAAUGUUUUGAUAAGUUAUAAUCAUGUCUUGUUUUGGGAACAAAUUCCGUAACCGUUAUCUUUAAAAGAUUACUCUGAUUUUAUAAAAGAAAGCAUAAACAAAAUCUGUCUUUUCUGGCUGUG
This 1273-nucleotide long non-coding RNA is filed under the name Lactuca sativa (garden lettuce). RNAcentral's name for it is "long non-coding RNA (LSAT_LNC008473)". The record is from RNAcentral. Lineage: Eukaryota; Viridiplantae; Streptophyta; Magnoliopsida; Asterales; Asteraceae.